UUCCUACCUAAGUUGAUAGCCCUAGCGGCAU
This 31-nucleotide small RNA is filed under the name Bombyx mori (domestic silkworm). RNAcentral describes it as "ovarian small RNA-37272". Lineage: Eukaryota; Metazoa; Arthropoda; Insecta; Lepidoptera; Bombycidae. The record is from RNAcentral.